This 435-nucleotide ribosomal RNA is filed under the name uncultured Anaplasma sp. Its description in RNAcentral is "bacterial SSU rRNA". Lineage: Bacteria; Pseudomonadati; Pseudomonadota; Alphaproteobacteria; Rickettsiales; Anaplasmataceae. The record is from RNAcentral.
GUCUCUGUGUUGUAGCUAACGCGUUAAGCACUCCGCCUGGGGACUACGGUCGCAAGACUAAAACUCAAAGGAAUUGACGGGGACCCGCACAAGCGGUGGAGCAUGUGGUUUAAUUCGAUGCAACGCGAAGAACCUUACCACUUCUUGACAUGGAGAUUAGAUCCUUCUUAACAGAAGGGCGCAGUUCGGCUGGAUCUCRCACAGGUGCUGCAUGGCUGUCGUCAGCUCGUGUCGUGAGAUGUUGGGUUAAGUCCCGCAACGAGCGUAACCCUCAUCCUUAGUUGCCAGCGGGUUAAGCCGGGCACUUUAAGGAGACUGCCAGUGGUAAACUGGAGGAAGGUGGGGAUGAUGUCAAGUCAGCACGGCCCUUAUGGGGUGGGCUACACACGUGCUACAAUGGUGACUACAAUAGGUUGCAAUGUCGYAAGGCUGAGC